Molecule: ribosomal RNA, 178 nt
Filed under: Naegleria sp. AM-2013a
Lineage: Eukaryota; Heterolobosea; Eutetramitea; Acrasida; Naegleriidae
Description: 5.8S ribosomal RNA
Rfam family: 5.8S ribosomal RNA (bases 1-133)
About the family: 5.8S ribosomal RNA (5.8S rRNA) is a component of the large subunit of the eukaryotic ribosome. It is transcribed by RNA polymerase I as part of the 45S precursor that also contains 18S and 28S rRNA.
Source: RNAcentral
GGCCAUUGUGUCGAUGAAGAACGUACAAGUUGCGAAAAGUACUGUGACAUGCAAAACUCGUGAAUCAUCUAAUCUUCGAACACAGACAAUGCUUCACUUCUUCGGGAGGCGAAGCGCUUGCUUGUGAGUGCCAGCCAUACACUACUCAAAGGACGUGAGCUUGCUCUCUUCCAUCGGU